GUUCCUAUUGAGCAGAGUACUACUCCAACCCAUGUGACAUACCUAUUGUUGCCUCGGCAGGUCGUAGACUGCUGGGAAAGGGCCUUCCCCUAGCUUGGGAGGCCCUACCCGGGAGCCGCGGGUAAGCCUGCCGAUGGCCCGCAAAAACUCUGUUUAGCACUGAAAUUCUGAAUCAUAACUAAAUAAGUUAAAACUUUCAACAACGGAUCUCUUGGUUCUGGCAUCGAUGAAGAACGCAGCGAAAUGCGAUAAGUAAUGUGAAUUGCAGAAUUCAGUGAAUCAUCGAAUCUUUGAACGCACAUUGCGCCCAUUAGUAUUCUAGUGGGCAUGCCUGUUCGAGCGUCAUUUCAACCCUUAAGCCCUUGUUGCUUAGUGUUGGGAGACUACGUUCCUUAGCGUAGCUCCUCAAAGUUAGUGGCAGAGUCAGUUCAAACUCUAGGUGUAGUAAAUUUCUUCUCGCCUCUGUGGUUGGGCUGCCCCUCGCCGUAAAACACCCCUAAUUUUUAAAGGUUGACCUCGGAUCAGGUAGGAAUACCCGCUGAACUUAAGCAUAUCAAUAAGGCGGAGGAAAAGAACCCUCUGGGUUUGCUCUACUCAAGACGGGUGAAUUGGGUAUAGCUUUAUGCGGGGAAUAAUGGCAGGA
This is a ribosomal RNA of 643 nucleotides. The stretch from base 192 to 345 matches the Rfam family "5.8S ribosomal RNA".